This 229-nucleotide ribosomal RNA is filed under the name uncultured bacterium. Its description in RNAcentral is "partial 16S ribosomal RNA". It matches the Rfam family "Bacterial small subunit ribosomal RNA", at positions 568 to 796 of the family's 1533-position model. The record is from RNAcentral.
UGCGUAGGCGGAAUGAUAAGUUAGUGGUGAAAGCCCCCGGCUCAACCGGGGAACUGCCAUUAAUACUGUCAUUCUUGAGUAUAGUUGAAGUGGGCGGAAUGUAUCAUGUAGCGGUGAAAUGCCUAGAUAUGAUACAGAACACCGAUAGCGUAGGCAGCUUGCUAAACUAUAACUGACGCUCAGGCACGAAAGCGUGGGGAGCAAACAGGAUUAGAUACCCUGGUAGUCC